This 253-nucleotide unclassified non-coding RNA is filed under the name uncultured Planctomycetia bacterium. RNAcentral's name for it is "contains 16S-23S intergenic spacer region". It matches the Rfam family "Bacterial small subunit ribosomal RNA", at positions 524 to 776 of the family's 1533-position model. Lineage: Bacteria; Pseudomonadati; Planctomycetota; Planctomycetia. The record is from RNAcentral.
GACGAACCGUCCUAACGUUGUUCGGAAUCACUGGGCUUAAAGGGCGCGUAGGCGGUCGGCAAAGUCAGGGGUGAAAUCUUUCGGCUCAACCGGAAAAGGGCCUCUGAUACUUGUCGGCUCGAGUGAGAUAGGGGCAUGUGGAACUUCCGGUGGAGCGGUGAAAUGCGUUGAUAUCGGAAGGAACGCCGGUGGCGAAAGCGACAUGCUGGAUCUCUUCUGACGCUGAGGCGCGAAAGCUAGGGGAGCAAACGGG